This is a non-coding RNA of Salmonella enterica subsp. enterica serovar Newport, 184 nucleotides long. The record is from Rfam. NCBI's taxonomy places the organism in Bacteria, Pseudomonadati, Pseudomonadota, Gammaproteobacteria, Enterobacterales, Enterobacteriaceae.
AUUUCUCUGAGAUGUUUGCAAGCGGGCCAGUCCCCUGAGCUGAGACUGCAUACCACAAGAAUGUGGCGCUCCGCGGUUGGUGAGCAUGCUCGGUUCGUCCGAGAAGCCUUAAAACUGUGACGACACAUUCACCUUGAACCAAGGGUUCAAGGGUUACAGCCUGCGGCGGCAUCUCGGAGAUUCC